RNAcentral lists this transfer RNA (59 nucleotides) under Angiostrongylus cantonensis (rat lungworm). Its description in RNAcentral is "tRNA-Asn". Lineage: Eukaryota; Metazoa; Nematoda; Chromadorea; Rhabditida; Metastrongylidae. The record is from RNAcentral. RNAcentral also lists the same sequence under 1 other name.
UGAGAGUUAGUUUAAAUUAAGAAUUGUUGAUUGUUGAUCAGAGGGUAUAGUACUCUUAA